UUGGUUAAGUUAGAAAGGGCGCACGGUGGAUGCCUUGGCACUAGGAGCCGAAGAAGGACGGGACUAACACCGAUAUGCUUUGGGGAGCUGUACGUAAGCGUUGAUCCAGAGAUUUCCGAAUGGGGGAACCCACUAUCUUUAGUCGGAUAGUAUCCUUACGUGAAUACAUAGCGUGAGGAAGGCAGACCCAGGGAACUGAAACAUCUAAGUACCUGGAGGAAGAGAAAGAAAAAUCGAUUUCCUGAGUAGCGGCGAGCGAAACGGAAAGAGCCCAAACCAAGAAGCUUGCUUCUUGGGGUUGUAGGACACUCUAUACGGAGUUACAAAAGAAAGUUAUAAAUGAAGCGGUCUGGAAAGGCCCGCCAAAGACGGUAACAGCCCGGUAGUUGAAAUAGCUUUCCCUCCAGAGUGGAUCCUGAGUACGGCGGAACACGUGAAAUUCCGUCGGAAUCCGGGAGGACCAUCUCCCAAGGCUAAAUACUCCCUAGUGACCGAUAGUGAACCAGUACCGUGAGGGAAAGGUGAAAAGCACCCCGGAAGGGGAGUGAAACAGUUCCUGAAACCGUGUGCCUACAAGUAGUUAGAGCCCGUUAAUGGGUGAUAGCGUGCCUUUUGUAGAAUGAACCGGCGAGUUACGAUUUGUUGCAAGGUUAAGCGGAAAAAGCGGAGCCGUAGCGAAAGCGAGUCUGAAUAGGGCGCAUAAGUAACAGGUCGUAGACCCGAAACCAGGUGAUCUACCCAUGUCCAGGAUGAAGGUAAGGUAAUACUUACUGGAGGUCCGAACCCACGCACGUUGAAAAGUGCGGGGAUGAGGUGUGGGUAGCGGAGAAAUUCCAAUCGAACUUGGAGAUAGCUGGUUCUCUCCGAAAUAGCUUUAGGGCUAGCCUCGAGGUAAAGAGUCAUGGAGGUAGAGCACUGUUUGGACUAGGGGCCCUUCUCGGGUUACCGAAUUCAGAUAAACUCCGAAUGCCAUGUACUUAUACUCGGGAGUCAGACUGCGAGUGAUAAGAUCCGUAGUCGAAAGGGAAACAGCCCAGACCACCAGUUAAGGUCCCCAAAUAUAUGUUAAGUGGAAAAGGAUGUGGGGUUGCUUAGACAACCAGGAUGUUGGCUUAGAAGCAGCCACCAUUGAAAGAGUGCGUAAUAGCUCACUGGUCGAGUGACCCCGCGCCGAAAAUGUACCGGGGCUAAACAUAUUACCGAAACUGUGGAUGAACCUCUUUGGAGGUUCGUGGUAGGAGAGCGUUCUAAGGGCGGUGAAGUCAGACCGGAAGGACUGGUGGAGCGCUUAGAAGUGAGAAUGCCGGUAUGAGUAGCGAAAGAAGGGUGAGAAUCCCUUCCACCGAAUAUCUAAGGUUUCCUGAGGAAGGCUCGUCCGCUCAGGGUUAGUCGGGACCUAAGCCGAGGCCGAUAGGCGUAGGCGAUGGACAACAGGUAGAGAUUCCUGUACCAGUGCUAAUUGUUUAACCAAUGGGGUGACACAGAAGGAUAGGGAAUCGCACGAAUGGAAAUGUGCGUCCAAGCAGUGAGUGUGAGAAGUAGGCAAA
This 1547-nucleotide ribosomal RNA is filed under the name Listeria welshimeri. RNAcentral describes it as "partial 23S ribosomal RNA". It matches the Rfam family "Bacterial large subunit ribosomal RNA", at positions 1 to 1540 of the family's 2925-position model. Lineage: Bacteria; Bacillati; Bacillota; Bacilli; Caryophanales; Listeriaceae. The record is from RNAcentral.